This 916-nucleotide long non-coding RNA is filed under the name Trifolium pratense (red clover). RNAcentral describes it as "long non-coding RNA (TPRA_LNC000997)". Lineage: Eukaryota; Viridiplantae; Streptophyta; Magnoliopsida; Fabales; Fabaceae. The record is from RNAcentral.
UUCACUCAAAACUAACCCUAGUUUGUAACAUAGCAAGCAGCGGCGCUCUCUCUCUCUCUCACUCACAAAUUCAAGUUCAACCAUGAACUCACUCUCAAUCACAACUCACUAUUGUCACCACCGUUUCUCUAACUCUUUACUUUACUCUGUUUUUCGUUUUUCUUGUUUAUUUGUCUAACUUGCUUAUUUCGUUUUUCUUGUUUAUUUGACUAACUUGUUUAUUUCGUUUUUCUUUUACAACUCUUAAUUGAAAUACUAAUGAAUUUAUUUUUUAUUUUAAAUACUGAAGGAGUAAGAAAGUCACACAAACGUCACAAAGUCACAAACUUCCCUCUGAUGCACAACAUUGACAUAGAUCUGAAAAAUGGUAAGCUAUUCUAACUUGUAUUUUAACUCUGUUGUUGUGUUUUUUUGAAGUUAUUUAAGAUUUGUUCUUUUUUAUUCAAGUUUUAUUCUUUUUUAAGUUAUUUAAGAUUACUUUGUUCUUUUUAAAUUUUUGUCUUUUAAGUUCUGUUUUAUUUAGUUAAGUUUAGGUUUAGCCUCUUUUUUUUUUAACAUUGUAUUCUGUUUGUAUUAUUGUUGUUAUUUAAGUUUAAUGAAUAUAAUUUCCUUUAUUGAUUUUGCUAUAAAACCUUGAUAACAAGUAAAUAACUCAAUUUUUGUUUGUUUUUUUCUAGCUCAACUCAAUGGUGGCUGGUGGCAGCAAUCAACAAUUAUGAAAGAAUGUCAUUUUCAUUUUCAUAUUUUUAAUGAGCUGUAAUAUACAUUUGUAAUGGUCUGUAAAAUAUCUACCUAUCUCUUUGUAGUACUAAGCUGAACUUGAUACCAAAAAUUGAAUGUUUGAAUGAGAUGAUAGUCAAGCAGGAAGGAACCUGAAUAUGAAUUUGAAAAUAAGUAGUGCAAAACAUAAAUUAGC